Molecule: RNA transcript, 3498 nt
Organism: Monodelphis domestica (gray short-tailed opossum)
Lineage: Eukaryota; Metazoa; Chordata; Mammalia; Didelphimorphia; Didelphidae
Gene: PYM1
Gene name: PYM1 exon junction complex associated factor
Source: RefSeq, a predicted model, not a curated record
UCGGAGGAGAAAGCAGCAGGCAGGGACCUUCCCAGCCUCAGGCGGAAUUGAGCUUGGUGGGGCCAGGUCGAGGGCGGGAAGAUAAGCACUUAGAAAAAGGGGAGGGGAGAAGGGCAGCUAUGGGGAGUGCUGGAAGGGCUGCGGGGUCAAGCCCAACCCCUCCGAUCACGCCCCUCCCUUCUUCCCUCCAUCUCUUUUCUCUAGCACCCUCGAGGUAGGGCCGGAAACCUAGAGUUAGGGAUCUUAUACAAAGGAAGAAACUGAGGCCGGGAGGGGGAGUGGAGGGCGGGGGGUAGAGGCUUCAGCCGGAAGGGAGAGUAGGCGAGUCCAGCCCCUCCGGGGAGACUAAUCCAAGGUCACCGGGGGAAAGAGCAGGAGGAGGCGCGGGGUCAGGAUUUGAACCAAGAUCUUUAGCCUUGGCCGAACUGGGGAGGCUCGUGGCAGCUGCCCCGGAGACGGGGGCGGAAGCCAGCCACGAGGACCUCGGCGUCCCGGCCCGGUCCUCCGGAGAGAAACGGCCUCAGGCCUCCUCUUUCAUUCAUUCCACAGACACUGAGAGCGCACGCUGCCUGCUAGGGCCUGCAGCGUUUCCCUUCCUCCCCUCCGCCUCUGCGGCGCCACUCGGCCAGGGAUGUUGUCCAGCCGUCAAUCCGCUCCUGAGGACGAACUGAAAGGUAAAUAUAUUGCUUCGACCCAGCGGCCGGACGGGACCUGGAGGAAGCAGCGUAAAGUAAAAGAAGGCUACGUGCCCCAGGAGGAGGUUCCUGUGUACGAAAACAAGUAUGUCAAGUUCUUCAAGAGCAAACCAGAGCUGCCCCCGGGCUUGAGCCUUGAGGCCAGCGUCCCCACCCCACCAAGGCUCGAGGGGGGUGAGCCGGGCCUCUCUAAGACUGCCAAACGAAACCUCAAACGCAAGGAGAAGAGGCGACAGCAGCAAGGGAAGGGGGCGGUAGAGGCCUUGAGCAGGACUCUAGAUAAAGUGUCUUUGAAGGAGCCAGCACAGACGACCAGCGUUCCCUCUGGUCCCCGAGCCACCCCUGCGACAAACCCGGACAAACCCGAUACGCUCUCUGCCACCGAUAAAGCCAAGAAGAUCAAGAACCUGAAGAAGAAACUCCGUCAGAUAGUUGAACUGCAGCAGCGGAUCCAGACCGGGGAGAUCAGCCAUCCCAGCAGAGAGCAGUUAGAAAAACUGGCCAGGAGGGGGGCGUUAGAAGAGGAAUUGGAGGACUUGGAAUUAGGCUUAUGAGGCUCCUCACGGACCAGGAAUAGACUGUAGGACGAACCGUGACGUUCCCUCAGAGGGACUUGGGGACUGUGGCAGCAGUAGCAGCCAGGAGAGACUCUCCUGCUCUCUGCCCUCCUACUCUUGCCCCGCCGCCUCUGGCCCAGCCUUUCCUUCCAGAGCCUCGCCUCCAUUAAUCCUCACCUUGAGCCCUUCCUUUUUGGACUCUACCCUUCCCUUUCCCUGUGUCCGGAAUCUCAGUGACUGUCCCAGAUAAUGAUGUUAGCCUCAGCACCAGUCUGAAGACAGCAUCUAAGAAUCAAACUUAGUUAAUUUUAGAUUUACAAGGGACUGUAGUAGUCAUCUAGUUCUAAUACUAUGUGAAUCAUGAAAGCCCUCUUAUAAAUAUCCCUUGUGAAGUCGAAAGAUUUGGAAGACCUUUCUCCUCAUCCUCAUUAUCCUCAGUGGCUUAGUCUACAAUCCUCUUUGACACUGCCCCCGGUCACGAGAACCAUUCAGGGAUUGCUUCAUCCUUCCAAAUUGCUAAUUCUUCAGCCCUGUGCCAGGGCACCUGUACAUUCUUAUGGAACCAUGGUUUUCGUGUCCAGUUUCAUGGAAAAUGAUUUUGGGAUUGGAAAGGACAGGACAAAAUUGAUUAGCAGGGAAUGGAGACUCAAGAUAAAUGAGACAGCAUCUAUCUGCCCUCCAGGCCUAGAUGAACUUUCUCCAAGGAUACUGAAAGAAGGGGAAGAUGUGAUUGCUGAGCCACUAUUGAUCAUUGGCAUAUUAGGAAGACCAGGAGAGGUGCUGCAACACCGAAGAAUGGCAAAUAUCCUGACUUCUCAAAAAAGAAGAGGGUGGAUUCUGCAAACUGUAAUCCAAUAACGACUUCCAUUCCUAGCAAAAUUCUAACAUUCAUUUAAAAUUUUUUUGAGUUCUAAAACCUCUUCUUUGAGCCGCUCCUCCACUCAUUGAGAAAGCAAGCAAUAUUACACAUAUGUCAUGUAAAACAUUUCCAUAUUAGCCAUGUUACCAAAAAAGGGCAAGAAAAAUAAAGUGAAAAAAAAAUCUAUGCUUCAAUCUGCACUCAAGAAAGAGUUCAGUCCUCUGUGGAGGUAGAUAGCAUUUUUCUUCCUGCGUACUUUGGAACUGUCUUGGAUAAUUGUAUUGAUUAGAAAAACUAAGUCCUUUACAGUUGAUCAUUGUUACAAUAUUGCUGUUACUAUGUACAAUGUUCUGGUUGUGCUGCAUUCACUUUGUAUCAUUUCAUAUAAGUCUUCCUAGGUUUUUCUGAAACUAUCCUGUUUGUCAUUUCUUAUAGCACAAUAAUAGUAUUCCAUCACAAUUGUAUACUACACCUCGUUCAGCCAUUCCCCAAUUGAUGGGCAUCCCCUUGAUUUCCAAGUCUUUGCCACCACAAAAAGCUGCUAUAGAUAUUUUUCUAUAUAUAUACAUAUAUACAUAUAUAUAUAGAUUAUUUUUCUUUGAUCUCUUUGGAAUACAGCCCUAGUAGUGGUACUACUGGGUCAAAAGGUAGACACAGUUUUAUAGCCCUUUGGGCAUAGUUCCAAAUUGUUCUCCAGAAUGUGGAUUAGUUCACAGCUCAACCAAUAGUGCAUUAGUGUACCUGUUUUUCCAUAUCUUCUCCACACAUUUGUAAUUUUCCUUUUCUGUUAUGUUAGCCACUGAUCAGUUUGAAGUGGUGCCUCAGAGUUGUUUCAAGUUGCAUUUCUCCAACAGUCAUUUAGAGCAUUUUUUCCCUUAUGAUUUGAUAAAAUCUAAAACUGCCUUUUUGUAUCCUUUGACCAAAUAUUUAUCAAUUGGAGAAUGGCUCUUAGUUUUUAUAAGUUUGAUUCAUUUCCCUGUGUAUUUGAGAAAGAAGGCUUUUUUAUUAGAGAAACUUGUUAUAAUUUUUUCCAACUUCCUGUUUUCCUCCUAAUUUUGGCUGCAUUGGUUUUGUUUGUGCAAAAGCUUCUUAAUGUCAUGUAAUCAAAAUUAUUCAUUUUAACUUCCUAUGAUCUUUUAUCUCUUGUUUGGACAUAGACUCUUCCUUUAUCUCCUAAAUCUGACAAGUAAAUUUUUUCAAGCUCCCUUAAUUUGCUUAUAUCACCUGUUAUGUGUAAAUCAUGUACCCAUUUUGACCUUAUCUUAGUAUAUGGUGUGAGAUGUUGGUCUAUGCCUAAUUUCUGUAAAACUGCUUUCCAAUUUUCCUAGCUAUUUUUGUCAGAUAGUGAGUUCUUGCACUAAAAGCUAAUAUCUUUGGUUUCGUCAAA